ACAUGCAAGUCGAACGGAGUUUUAACGGAAGUUUCGGAUGGAAGUUAGAAACUAGUGGCGGACGGGUGAGUAACGCGUGGGUAACCUGCCUCAUACAGGGGGGAUAACAGUUAGAAAUGACUGCUAACACCGCAUAAUAUAGCGAAACCGCAAUGAUUUUGCUAUCAAAUAUUUAUAGGUAUGAGAUGGGCCCGCGUCUGAUUAGCUAGUUGGUGGGGUAAAAGCCUACCAAGGCGACGAUCAGUAGCCGGCUUGAGAGAGUGACCGGCCACAUUGGGACUGAGACACGGCCCAAACUCCUACGGGAGGCAGCAGUGGGGAAUAUUGGACAAUGGGGGAAACCCUGAUCCAGCCGACGCCGCGUGAGUGAAGAAGUAUUUCGGUAUGUAAAGCUCUAUCAGCAGGGAAGAUAAUGACAGUACCUGACUAAGAAGCCCCGGCUAACUACGUGCCAGCCGCCGC
This 462-nucleotide ribosomal RNA is filed under the name uncultured bacterium. RNAcentral's name for it is "bacterial SSU rRNA". It matches the Rfam family "Bacterial small subunit ribosomal RNA", at positions 53 to 518 of the family's 1533-position model. The record is from RNAcentral.